GAUGAAGAACGUAGCGAAAUGCGAUAAGUAAUGUGAAUUGCAGAAUUCAGUGAAUCAUCGAAUCUUUGAACGCACCUUGCACCCUUUGGCAUUCCGAAGGGUAUGCUCGUUUGAGUGUCAUUGUACUCUCACUCUCCCGAUCUUUGGAUCGGGAGUGGUGGACUUGGGUGUUGCUGCUUUACCGUGGCUCACCUCAAAUGGAUUCGUGCAACUCCUGGUUGGACAUAGUACGGCGUGAUAAGUGUCUUCGCCGGCGCCUCUGUAAGGAGGGUGGCCGAUCGGGAGCUCUGUGCUUCAAACCGUCUUCGGACAAUCUUUGACAACUUGACCUCAAAUCGAGUAGGACUACCCGCUGAACUUAAGCAUAUCAAUAAGCGGAGGA
This 382-nucleotide unclassified non-coding RNA is filed under the name soil metagenome. RNAcentral's name for it is "partial contains 5.8S ribosomal RNA, internal transcribed spacer 2, and large subunit ribosomal RNA". The stretch from base 1 to 120 matches the Rfam family "5.8S ribosomal RNA", at positions 35 to 154 of the family's 154-position model. The record is from RNAcentral.